AAUAGCCUAACGGCUGAACCAGCAACUUGGAAAAAUGAAUAGAAUUAGCUAGUUACAUAGUCUUAUGUGAUAUCAACUAAGUUGAAUAAAGUUUUGAGUAAAUCUAGAUAAUGACUUAAUUUACUUAUGUGUCUUGACCAAAAUACGUGCCAGCAGUCGCGGUAAGACGUUAAAGACUAGUGUUAUUCAUCAUUAGCAGGUUUAAAGGGUACUUAGACGGCAAAUAAAGCCAAGGUAGGGACUAAUUUGCUAGAGUUACUUGUGAAGGGGCUUGAAAGUACUAGAGGAGUAGAGAUAAAAUAUUACAAUACCUUUUUUCGAAAGAAAUAAAAUGGCACUGAUAAAGGCGAAAGCAUCCCCUUAUGUGAUAACUGACGUUAAAGGACGAAGGCUUUGGAUCGCGAACAGGAUUAGAUACCCUGGUAGUCAAAGGAGAAAAUGAUGAGUGCCAUAGAUUGGAAUAAGUUUAAUUUAUAAAUGAAAGUGCAAGCACUCCACCUUAAGAGUAAUGUGGCAACACCGAAAUUGAAAUCAUUAGACCGUUUCUGAANNNNNNNNNNNNNNNNNNNNNNUAAUUUGAUGAUCCGCAAAAAACCUUACCACAACUUGUAUAUUUAUAUUUCAAUAUAUUUACAAGCGUUGCACGGCUGUUUUAAGUUAAUGUCGUGAGAUUUUGGUUAAAUCCAUUAAAUUGACGUAAACCCUCGUUUUACUUUUAUGUAGAACGGUUCACCGUUAUAUUGGACAUGAUAAUAGGGAACAAGACAAGUCAUCAUGGCCUAAAUGUUGU
RNAcentral lists this ribosomal RNA (790 nucleotides) under Aciculopsora longispora. RNAcentral's name for it is "partial small subunit ribosomal RNA". It matches the Rfam family "Bacterial small subunit ribosomal RNA", at positions 370 to 1210 of the family's 1533-position model. Lineage: Eukaryota; Fungi; Ascomycota; Lecanoromycetes; Lecanorales; Ramalinaceae. The record is from RNAcentral.